This 553-nucleotide ribosomal RNA is filed under the name uncultured bacterium. Its description in RNAcentral is "partial 16S ribosomal RNA". It matches the Rfam family "Bacterial small subunit ribosomal RNA", at positions 355 to 899 of the family's 1533-position model. The record is from RNAcentral.
UAGGGAAUCUUCCACAAUGGACGCAAGUCUGAUGGAGCAACGCCGCGUGAGUGAAGAAGGUUUUCGGACCGUAAAGCUCUGUUGUUGGUGAAGAAGGAUAGAGGUAGUAACUGGCCUUUAUUUGACGGUAAUCAACCAGAAAGUCACGGCUAACUACGUGCCAGCAGCCGCGGUAAUACGUAGGUGGCAAGCGUUGUCCGGAUUUAUUGGGCGUAAAGCGAGCGCAGGCGGAAGAAUAAGUCUGAUGUGAAAGCCCUCGGCUUAACCGAGGAAUUGCAUCGGAAACUGUUUUCUUGAGUGCAGAAGAGGAGAGUAGAACUCCAUGUGUAGCGGUGGAAUGCGUAGAUAUAUGGAAGAAUACCAGUGGCGAAGGCGGCUCUCUGGUCUGCAACUGACGCUGAGGCUCGAAAGCAUGGGUAGCGAACAGGAUUAGAUACCCCGGUAGUCCAUGCCGUAAACGAUGAGUGCUAAGUGUUGGGAGGCUUCCGCCUCUCAGUGCUGCAGCUAACGCAUUAAGCACUCCGCCUGGGGGAGUACGACCGCAAGGUUGAAA